GCCCUCGUGGAUCGCAGUGAUCACUCCUCUCUCCAUAGACCCUGACUGUGUACACAUUAUGAGGAGAGGCGGAGGUUCAAAUCCUCCCGAGGGCA
Mycena capillaripes is the source of this 95-nucleotide non-coding RNA. Lineage: Eukaryota; Fungi; Basidiomycota; Agaricomycetes; Agaricales; Mycenaceae. The record is from the annotation of a GenBank genome assembly.